AUUAACCCUAUUUGUGAAAUCCCGGAUUGUGUGACUAGGAUUACCGGCACCUGAUCAGGAGCACCCAGGGGUUUGGAAUCUCUGUUAUUGCGGGACAACAGGAAAGGGUAAGUCAGUGGCUGAUCAACCAUGAGUUUGAGGAGCAAGACGAAGAAUGUACAUGUUCAAGCCAUAUCAGACCAAGCGGGUUAAGGGUCUAUCAGUGAUGAACUUUUGAAUUCUAUUUUGUCGUUUAGGUCGGCUAGAAAGAAAUGACUUGUAAUAGCGUUUGUAAAUAUUUUUGGGAUCCCAACUAUUUUAAAAGUUUAAAUAUAUUACAAGUUUAUUUUCA
This is a long non-coding RNA of Cannabis sativa, 331 nucleotides long. RefSeq lists it as uncharacterized. NCBI's taxonomy places the organism in Eukaryota, Viridiplantae, Streptophyta, Magnoliopsida, Rosales, Cannabaceae. The record is from RefSeq and is a predicted model, not a curated record. The transcript is spliced from 2 exons.